AAUUCUCAAAACCAUUUCUUUUGGUCAUUUUUGACCAUGGAAAGGAUUUUGGACUUGGAGGCCUUUUGCUGGUUUCGCCUUGAAGCGAGCUCCUCCCAAAUGUAUUAGCGGGGUUUGCAUUGUCGGUCCUUGGCGUGAUAAGUUGUUUCUACGUCUUGGACUUUUGGCGUUGUACACCUGCUUCUAACUGUCUUAUUGACAACGAUGGUGUUCCGGUCUCCGCCGAUUUUAUCGGUGCGAGGCUUGACCCACAAAAUGAA
Molecule: unclassified non-coding RNA, 260 nt
Filed under: uncultured Russula
Lineage: Eukaryota; Fungi; Basidiomycota; Agaricomycetes; Russulales; Russulaceae
Description: sequence contains ITS2
Source: RNAcentral